UACGUAGGGACCGAGCGUUGUCCGGAUUCAUUGGGCGUAAAGAGCUCGUAGGCGGCUGCUCAAGUCGAAUGUGAAAACUCGAGGCUCAACCUCGAGCCUGCAUUCGAUACUGGGCGGCUAGAGUCUGGUAGGGGGAUCUGGAAUUCCUGGUGUAGCGGUGGAAUGCGCAGAUAUCAGGAGGAACACCGGUGGCGAAGGCGGGAUCCUGGGCCAAUACUGACGCUCAUGUGCGAAAGCGUGGGGAGCAAACAGG
Molecule: ribosomal RNA, 253 nt
Filed under: uncultured bacterium
Lineage: Bacteria
Description: partial 16S ribosomal RNA
Rfam family: Bacterial small subunit ribosomal RNA
Source: RNAcentral